This 417-nucleotide long non-coding RNA is filed under the name Androctonus crassicauda. The record is from RNAcentral. Lineage: Eukaryota; Metazoa; Arthropoda; Arachnida; Scorpiones; Buthidae.
GGUAGGUCCCAGCCCGCGCCCGUCCACGAAGACAAACAAGACACGGACGGGUUCCAGCGGGCUAGGGGACGAAUAUACCGGCUAGGAGACAGCCGGCGAGGUCCCAGCCCGCGCCCGUCCACGAAGACAAAUGCGACACCGACGGCGACUGAGAUGGACGGCGUUCCAGCGGGCUAGGGGACGAAUAUACCGGCUUGGAGUCAGCCGGUUACGUCUCCACUCUUGUUCGUUGUUGACUGAUAUUUCAUUAUCCUGUUUUGCUUUACCUACAUUGUAUAUAACAACACUUGCACCAAUAUAUUCAUGCUUUAACAUUUAUCCAAUCGUCGCAUCCACUCUUCUGUACCAAGCAUUUUCAUUUGACAUAACAUAUUUACACAACACAAACAUCUGUUUCCCAAAAUCCAAUCUCUGGGU